This 426-nucleotide ribosomal RNA is filed under the name Pseudomonas sp. '7.1 MW-13'. Its description in RNAcentral is "bacterial SSU rRNA". It matches the Rfam family "Bacterial small subunit ribosomal RNA", at positions 77 to 491 of the family's 1533-position model. Lineage: Bacteria; Pseudomonadati; Pseudomonadota; Gammaproteobacteria; Pseudomonadales; Pseudomonadaceae. The record is from RNAcentral.
GCAAAAGCGGUAUGAUNNUNAAUUNAANGNCNNACGGGUGAGUAAUGCCUAGGAAUCUGCCUGGUAGUGGGGGACAACGUUUCGAAAGGAACGCUAAUACCGCAUACGUCCUACGGGAGAAAGCAGGGGACCUUCGGGCCUUGCGCUAUCAGAUGAGCCUAGGUCGGAUUAGCUAGUUGGUGAGGUAAUGGCUCACCAAGGCGACGAUCCGUAACUGGUCUGAGAGGAUGAUCAGUCACACUGGAACUGAGACACGGUCCAGACUCCUACGGGAGGCAGCAGUGGGGAAUAUUGGACAAUGGGCGAAAGCCUGAUCCAGCCAUGCCGCGUGUGUGAAGAAGGUCUUCGGAUUGUAAAGCACUUUAAGUUGGGAGGAAGGGCAGUAAAUUAAUACUUUGCUGUUUUGACGUUACCGACAGACUACGC